UGCAGUCGAGCGGUAGCACGAAAAGCUUGCUCUCCGGAGGCUAGCGGCGGACGGGUGAGUAAUGUCUGGGAAACUGCCUGAUGGAGGGGGAUUACUACUGGAAACGGGGGCUAAUACCGCAUAACGACUUUAAACCGCAUGGGGGGACCUUCAGGCCUCGUGCCAUCUGAUGUGCCCAGAUGGGACCGCCUAGUAUGAGGUGUAACGGCUCACCUAGGCUACCAUCCCUAACUGGUCUGAGACGAUGACCAGCCACACUGGAACUGACACACGGUCCAGACUCCUACGGGAGGCUACGUGGGGAAUAUUGCACAAUGGGCGCAAGCCUGAUGCAGCCAUGCCGCGUGUGUGAAGAAGGCCUUCGGGUUGUCUUCCACUUUCAGCGCUCUGGAAGGCGGUGAGGUUAAUAACCUUAUCGAUUGACGUUACCCGCACGAAGAAUACCGGCUAACUCCGUGCCAGCUAGCCGCGGUAAUACGGAGGGUGCACAGCGUUAAUCGGAAUUACUGCGGCGUAAUUGGCACGCAGGCGGCGCUGUCAAGUCGGAUGUGAAAUCCCCGUGGCUCAACCUGGGCAACUGCCAUUCGAAACUGAUUGGGCUACUGGUCAUGCUAUGAGGUGGGGUAGAAUUCCAGUGUGUAUUCGCAUGAAAUG
RNAcentral lists this ribosomal RNA (654 nucleotides) under Klebsiella pneumoniae. RNAcentral describes it as "bacterial SSU rRNA". It matches the Rfam family "Bacterial small subunit ribosomal RNA", at positions 52 to 689 of the family's 1533-position model. The record is from RNAcentral. Lineage: Bacteria; Pseudomonadati; Pseudomonadota; Gammaproteobacteria; Enterobacterales; Enterobacteriaceae.